UACAGGGGGGGCAAGCGUUGUUCGGAAUUACUGGGCGUAAAGCGUGCGCAGGCGGUUGUGCAAGACCGAUGUGAAAUCCCCGGGCUUAACCUGGGAAUGGCAUUGGUGACUGCACGGCUAGAGUGUGUCAGAGGGGGGUAGAAUUCCACGUGUAGCAGUGAAAUGCGUAGAGAUGUGGAGGAAUACCGAUGGCGAAGGCAGCCCCCUGGGAUAACACUGACGCUCAUGCACGAAAGCGUGGGGAGCAAACAGG
RNAcentral lists this ribosomal RNA (253 nucleotides) under uncultured bacterium. RNAcentral's name for it is "partial 16S ribosomal RNA". It matches the Rfam family "Bacterial small subunit ribosomal RNA", at positions 524 to 776 of the family's 1533-position model. The record is from RNAcentral.